AGAGUUUGAUCCUGGCUCAGAGCGAACGCUGGCGGCGUGCCUAACACAUGCAAGUCGAACGUGAAAGGGAGCAAUCCUGAGUAAAGUGGCGUACGGGUGAGUAACACGUAGGUAAUCUACCCCAGAGUCUGGAAUAACCGGUCGAAAGGCUGGCUAAUACUGGAUAGAGCGACGAAACUCGUAAUUGGGUUUUUCGGGAA
This 200-nucleotide ribosomal RNA is filed under the name uncultured bacterium. Its description in RNAcentral is "partial 16S ribosomal RNA". It matches the Rfam family "Bacterial small subunit ribosomal RNA", at positions 8 to 204 of the family's 1533-position model. The record is from RNAcentral.